This 473-nucleotide ribosomal RNA is filed under the name uncultured bacterium. RNAcentral's name for it is "bacterial SSU rRNA". It matches the Rfam family "Bacterial small subunit ribosomal RNA", at positions 29 to 506 of the family's 1533-position model. The record is from RNAcentral.
AUGAAUGCUGGCGGCGUGUCUAAGGCAUGCAAGUCGAGCGUAUCACUUUUUGUAGCAAUACUUAGAGUGGUAAGCGGCAAACGGGAGCGUAACACAUUGGUAACCUGCCUCGAAGACGUGGAUAACUCGCCGAAAGGCGAGCUAAUAUACGAUAUUAAUGCGAAGACGCAAGUUCUUGCAUUGAAAGCCCAAAAGGCACUUCGAGAGGGACCUAUGUUCUAUCAGCUAGUUGGUGAGGUAAUGGCCCACCAAGGCUAUGACGGAUAGCAGGCGUGAGAGCGUGACCUGCCUCAGUGGGACUGAGACACUGCCCACACUCCUACGGGAGGCUGCAGUCAAGAAUCUUCCUCAAUGGACGAAAGUCUGAAGGAGCGACGCCGCGUGCAGGAUGAAGCCCUUCGGGGUGUAAACUGCUUUUCCCAGGGACGAAUUUCGAUGACGGUACCUGGGGAAUAAGAGGUUGCUAACUCUGU